AGUAUUAUGUCUGAUUAAAGUAAUAAAUUGUAAAUUUAUUUAAGAAGUAAAAUUCUGAUACUA
This 63-nucleotide transfer RNA is filed under the name Pheidole megacephala. RNAcentral's name for it is "tRNA-Tyr". The record is from RNAcentral. Lineage: Eukaryota; Metazoa; Arthropoda; Insecta; Hymenoptera; Formicidae.